Molecule: ribosomal RNA, 1539 nt
Filed under: Klebsiella pneumoniae
Lineage: Bacteria; Pseudomonadati; Pseudomonadota; Gammaproteobacteria; Enterobacterales; Enterobacteriaceae
Description: bacterial SSU rRNA
Rfam family: Bacterial small subunit ribosomal RNA
Source: RNAcentral
AAAUUGAAGAGUUUGAUCAUGGCUCAGAUUGAACGCUGGCGGCAGGCCUAACACAUGCAAGUCGAGCGGUAGCACAGAGAGCUUGCUCUCGGGUGACGAGCGGCGGACGGGUGAGUAAUGUCUGGGAAACUGCCUGAUGGAGGGGGAUAACUACUGGAAACGGUAGCUAAUACCGCAUAACGUCGCAAGACCAAAGUGGGGGACCUUCGGGCCUCAUGCCAUCAGAUGUGCCCAGAUGGGAUUAGCUAGUAGGUGGGGUAACGGCUCACCUAGGCGACGAUCCCUAGCUGGUCUGAGAGGAUGACCAGCCACACUGGAACUGAGACACGGUCCAGACUUCUACGGGAGGCAGCAGUGGGGAAUAUUGCACAAUGGGCGCAAGCCUGAUGCAGCCAUGCCGCGUGUGUGAAGAAGGCCUUCGGGUUGUAAAGCACUUUCAGCGGGGAGGAAGGCGAUAAGGUUAAUAACCUUGGCGAUUGACGUUACCCGCAGAAGAAGCACCGGCUAACUCCGUGCCAGCAGCCGCGGUAAUACGGAGGGUGCAAGCGUUAAUCGGAAUUACUGGGCGUAAAGCGCACGCAGGCGGUCUGUCAAGUCGGAUGUGAAAUCCCCGGGCUCAACCUGGGAACUGCAUUCGAAACUGGCAGGCUAGAGUCUUGUAGAGGGGGUAGAAUUCCAGGUGUAGCGGUGAAAUGCGUAGAGAUCUGGAGGAAUACCGGUGGCGAAGGCGGCCCCCUGGACAAAGACUGACGCUCAGGUGCGAAAGCGUGGGGAGCAAACAGGAUUAGAUACCCUGGUAGUCCACGCCGUAAACGAUGUCGAUUUGGAGGUUGUGCCCUUGAGGCGUGGCUUCCGGAGCUAACGCGUUAAAUCGACCGCCUGGGGAGUACGGCCGCAAGGUUAAAACUCAAAUGAAUUGACGGGGGCCCGCACAAGCGGUGGAGCAUGUGGUUUAAUUCGAUGCAACGCGAAGAACCUUACCUGGUCUUGACAUCCACAGAACUUUCCAGAGAUGGAUUGGUGCCUUCGGGAACUGUGAGACAGGUGCUGCAUGGCUGUCGUCAGCUCGUGUUGUGAAAUGUUGGGUUAAGUCCCGCAACGAGCGCAACCCUUAUCCUUUGUUGCCAGCGGUCCGGCCGGGAACUCAAAGGAGACUGCCAGUGAUAAACUGGAGGAAGGUGGGGAUGACGUCAAGUCAUCAUGGCCCUUACGACCAGGGCUACACACGUGCUACAAUGGCAUAUACAAAGAGAAGCGACCUCGCGAGAGCAAACGGACCUCAUAAAGUAUGUCGUAGUCCGGAUUGGAGUCUGCAACUCGACUCCAUGAAGUCGGAAUCGCUAGUAAUCGUAGAUCAGAAUGCUACGGUGAAUACGUUCCCGGGCCUUGUACACACCGCCCGUCACACCAUGGGAGUGGGUUGCAAAAGAAGUAGGUAGCUUAACCUUCGGGAGGGCGCUUACCACUUUGUGAUUCAUGACUGGGGUGAAGUCGUAACAAGGUAACCGUAGGGGAACCUGCGGUUGGAUCACCUCCUUA